Molecule: ribosomal RNA, 497 nt
Filed under: uncultured bacterium
Lineage: Bacteria
Description: partial 16S ribosomal RNA
Rfam family: Bacterial small subunit ribosomal RNA
Source: RNAcentral
GAUGAACGCUGGCGGCGUGCCUAAUACAUGCAAGUCGAGCGAACAGACGAGGAGCUUGCUCCUCUGACGUUAGCGGCGGACGGGUGAGUAACACGUGGAUAACCUACCUAUAAGACUGGGAUAACUUCGGGAAACCGGAGCUAAUACCGGAUAAUAUAUUGAACCGCAUGGUUCAAUAGUGAAAGACGGUUUUGCUGUCACUUAUAGAAGGAUCCGCGCCGCAUUAGCUAGUUGGUAAGGUAACGGCUUACCAAGGCGACGAUGCGUAGCCGACCUGAGAGGGUGAUCGGCCACACGGGAACUGAGACACGGUCCAGACUCCUACGGGAGGCAGCAGUAGGGAAUCUUCCGCAAUGGGCGAAAGCCUGACGGAGCAACGCCGCGUGAGUGAUGAAGGUCUUCGGAUCGUAAAACUCUGUUAUUAGGGAAGAACAAAUGUGUAAGUAACUAUGCACGUCUUGACGGUACCUAAUCAGAAAGCCACGGCUAACUACGUG